This 25063-nucleotide long non-coding RNA is filed under the name Citrus sinensis (sweet orange). RNAcentral describes it as "long non-coding RNA (CSIN_LNC002713)". The record is from RNAcentral. Lineage: Eukaryota; Viridiplantae; Streptophyta; Magnoliopsida; Sapindales; Rutaceae.
GAAGCUUGGGAACCUACUUUAGGAAUGAGACAAAAAUAGACUCUAAGUAAAAUUCUAGUUAAGUAGGAAAAGUCGACGAAGUAAGGAAUUAGUGAAGAUUUAGGAUACUCAAAAAAUGUAUUAUAAAUAGAGAGCUCUAGAAGUAUAGAGGACAAGCCAAAAAAAAAAAAUUAAAUCAAAAGGCGAGUAGCAAGAAAGAAAAACUCGACGAUAAUCAUGAUUCAAUAGUGAAAUUUGCUCUCUUAACUCUUGAGAACAUAAGCCAAGCGCUGAAUUACAUAAAUCCUUAGUGUUUUGCUCUUUAUAUUGUCCCAUUUAUUCAAUUUUUUCGGUUGACCAAAAAUUAGCGUCAACAAUAUUAAUUAUAGAUAAUCUCAGGUAUUAUUUCAGCAAUAGUUUCCUAAUCAUUAAUCUGCAUCGUAUAAUGAAAAAAAAAAAAUUCUUUUUUGGAAUAAGAAGUUAUUGCAUUUGAAGUUUAUUGAUGAAAUUUCUAUUGAUCUCGAACUUCAUCCUUAAAUUUGGGGGGGGGGGGGGGGGAUUUGAAAAUUUAUUAAGAAAACUGAUUAAAAAAAGAAUACUACAAUCUUUAGGAACAAGAAUAAUAAUACUGAACACAUUCGUCUGAUAUAUUAGAUGGUAUGAAAGUUAAAUAACUAAAGUUUUUAAAUAACAAGAAUUUACCAUAAAAAAGUCUAAUAUUAGAUAAUGCAUAACCAGAUAUGGUUUCAACAAAAAAUGAUUGAGUUGGUGCAACAUGAGAGUCUAAACGCAUACAUGUCGAGCUAACCGGGAAUGCGGACCCAAUAAAAACAGGAAAAAAAAUAAAAAAUCGAUAUUAUGUAUAAACAUUAAAUUGAGAUAUAUUUUAAUAAUUAAUAAAAAAUAGUAAUAAACUAAUGGGCCAUGUUGACUGUUCUUUUAGAAAUUGGGCAAAAUCAGGCCCAGUCGAAAUGGGCCCAAAUUGCAGCCCUGCAACUGACAAAGUAAAAUUAGUAAAGAACCAAAACGGAAAGGAGGAAGACACGGAGACAGACACAGAUUGGAUUAGACCUACCUGCAGUGACAGUGAGUGAGAAUGAGAAUUCCAAACCCUAGAAGAGGUUCCUUCUCAAACACACAACAAAACCCAGAUAAUCCAUUCAAUGUUCAAAAUUUGUCUACAGUUUCAAUUCUUUUGAACUUUUUGAAGAGACCCCAAGCGUUCCCCUUUUUGCUCUCAAUCUUUGUUUUGUUGACAUGGCUCUCUCUCAGAUUACAACACUCUUCUUCCCAUUUUGAAUUGAACAAAAAUAACCAUGAGAAAUGGAGCAGCACCAAGGAUGAUGAUGUGAAGGCUAAUUUAGUCAGAUUUAAAUCUGACCAUCUACCUUCUUUGAUUCUCAAAGACAGGCGCGGUUGGUUACUGAAUCCUAUCUCUCUGGCCAUUGAUGCUGGCGUUAAAGGUAUUAUCCUGUUUUUAUUCAUUGUAGUUAUUAUCUAUCCGGGAUUUUUCUCUGUUAAUGCAGUGAUUGAUGGAUUUGCUAAUUUUGGAGUAAAAUGGAAGUUUGAGCUAGAUUUGUAAUGUAAUGAGCUUGCAUUGUUUUGUUUCCUUUUAGGGGGAGCGGUGUCUUGCGUUUCUUUACAUGUUGGCGAAAUUCAACCGGGUGCGUUGAGGGGGAAUCACAGGCAUUAUACUCUAAAUGAGACGUUUGUUAUUUGGGGAGCUAAAACAAAAUUCAGGGUAUGCUUCUCUUUGUUAGAGGGGUAAACAUUUCUAUUUGAAUAAGGAUUUCUAGAAAAAUGUUUAGUGUCUACCAAAUGCUUUUAGCACCCUAAAAAAUAUGCUGAAGCACAACAGUUAUAAACAGGCUGUAAAGUUGUAUAAAGUGUUUGUUUAUUGAAUUUUGAAGUCAAUAUUGGGUGAUAUUAUUCUUCACUGACUUAUUUACAAUUUCUUUAUAUCCCAUCAUUAUGGUGAUUGACUUGACUUUACCAUCUGAGUUGCUAUGGUUCAUCAACCACUCAAUAAUUUCAAGUUAAUUGCUAUAUCAUUGGGAUACAGAAGUUGUAAUAAGUUGAAACACUAGUGAAUAUCUGAUCUUAACAUGGUAUUUCAAUGAAACCAAAUCCCUUUUAAAUAAAUACAGUUUGCUGGUCUUACAAGUUAACUUUUUGGUGAUAUUGAGGUUCGGGGGAUGUUAUGUAACAUGUUAAUGCACGUAAACAUUUUAAAAAUAUCUGUUGGAAGUUUUUUCUAUGAACCUUUUUCCAAUAUUUAAGUUCACUUUAUACUUGUUACUCCUGGGAUGAACAGCUUUAGUAUCAAUUGCUUUUCUUUCACCAAAGAAAGAAAGAGAACUCAGUGCCUCUGCAAGACUAAAAUUCAAAUUUUUGUGAUGGUUUGCUGUUGUAUCUUAAUUGGCAAUCUUUCAUUUGUGCAUCUCUGAACAUGCUUGCCACAUGAGUUUACAGUUUUAUCUGGUGGAGUAACAUGACCUGAAAUUGGAAAACAGAUGCGGGUCUUCUGUAAUUUUCUUAUAACGACAGGCUUUAUUUAUCUUUUAUGUUUUGUUUGGUUCUUUUUCACCCAAAUAAUACUAGGAGAAAAUGAAACUUUCUGGUAAAAAUUAGCAUAUAAAUGUAUGAAUUUAGGUGUUUCACAUAAAAAUGAUAUUAUAUUAUAUUAUGAUAUAUGUCCUAGUUUCAUAUUUUUCUCACGGUUCUGCAGCUGGAGAAUAAUCAGAUAGAUGAUAAAGGUUAUGCUGAAGUGAUAGUUGGUGCAGAUGAGGUUGCUAUUGCAGCUAGCCCACAGGGAACAGCCCAUGCUUUAGUGAAUGCUGAUUUGAUUCAUAGUACAUUCUUUAUUGGGUGCCAAGACGGUGUGAUAAACAAUAACGCCUCAACUUCUGAUUUUAAUGUUUGGAAAGAUCUCUAAUUGUUGCUUUUUGUCAUUAAUACCUGUCUCUUCCCUAGUUCAUGAUUUGUAAAUAAUAUGUUAAGUUAAUUUGUUCAGUAUGAAACCACAAUCUAGGCUAUUUUGAGAUGAAGAUAAUAUGAUGAGGUGAGUUAAUGUAGCAUAUAUGGACACAAGUUACUGUUGUUGUUGCCCAAAAUAAUUCUUUUAGUUGCCAUCAUUUUUGCACAGCACUUGCCGACUUGAUCCGUUACUGGCUGAGUCUUGAUCCCCUUGGCGCUCGAGUCUUUUCAAUGUUUCAGGCAUUUCAGUUAUGCACUGCUCGUGCUGUGCAUCCGUGGUUAAAAGCGAAAUCUCAUUGCUCAUGUGGAUAAUCUUUGACGACAGUUUCUUGGAAGCGAUACAGCAAGCUUCCUAGAUCGUACACGCAAUGUUGUUGUUAUAGGGCCCUGGAAAGUUGGAACUAUAGCUCAUUUUCUUCCUUUGUUAUUUAGUUUAUAGUAUUAUACUAUAUGGCUAGCUUGUGCGUAGAAGUAUUGAAUUUCUUUGAACCAUACGAAAGCAGAGUUUCCCACAAACAAUCUUGUUAAUAUAUAAAAAGAAACCUAAAAACAGUUGGGUUAUAUAACUUUGAAUUCGUAAAUUACAUUAAUUAAACAUUGUCUCAAAAAAAUAAAAUAGAAUAAAAAUAUGCAACCUUCGAUUCCGAAGCUUAAAAGCCAAUUAACGUAAUACAGAGGAUUGCUUGACCCAACAUGCAAGUGAAAUAAGGCAGGCACCUGAUUUCAGCGACUAUAAACUCUACAUGAAACCAAGCAAUGAGAGAUAUCCCACUUUGUAAAUUAAGAGGUAACAAAUUGUGUUCGUAUUAACUUGCAAACAAUGGAGACCAAGGGAAGCAAGAGAAUCGCUGUUCUAGUUGGAUGCAAUUACCCCAACACCAAGAAUGAGUUGCAUGGGUGCAUAAACGACGUGCUGGCGAUGAGGGAUGUGAUAAUCAACAGGUUCGGCUUUGAUCCGAACCAUAUCGAGCUUUUGACCGAUGCGCCGGGGUCGUCAGUGAUGCCUACGGGGGCUAAUAUUAAGGCAGCUCUUGAUCGGAUGGUGAGUAAGGCCGAAGCAGGUGAUGUGCUGUUAUUCCAUUAUAGUGGACAUGGUACAAGGAUUCCUUCUUUGAGGCCUAUUUGGCCUUUUAGGCAGCAGGAUGAAGCUAUUGUGCCUUGUGAUUUCAAUCUCAUCACUGGUAUGUCUUUAUAUGUACGUGUUUCUUCAUAUGUUCAAAAAUUUAUCACAUAUAGAUUUUUUUUUUUUAAAUUUUUUUGACGGAGCUAGGUUUUGGGGAGUACUGGAUAAUAACCAAAAACAUAUGUUCAAAAAUUUAUCACAUAUAGAUUUUUUUUUUUUAAAUUUUUUUGACGGAGCUAGGUUUUGGGGAGUACUGGAUAAUAACCAAAAAAAUAAUAAUAAUAACCAAUGCUCAUGCAUGUAUGUACACUGUGUUAUGCAGAUUUGGACUUCAGGCAACUAGUGAAUCGGCUGCCAAAGGGGGCGAGCUUCACAGUCUUUUCGGAUUCGUGCCACAGCGGGGGUCUUAUUGACAAGGCAAAGGAGCAAAUUGGACCUUCUUCUAAUAUUGAUCAGCUGAGAACCAAACAAUCACCGGCCUUUAGGCCCAAGACAAUUCCUUUCCAAUCAAUACUCGAACAUCUCUCAUCUGUGACAAAAAUAAACACAUCUGACAUUGGCACCCACUUGUUAGAAUUCUUUGGAGUUGAUGCCAGCCUCCGAUUUCGGCUGGCACCAAAUGAAGUGAUGGACUUAUUUGAGUCGUGGUCGUUGAAGCCAGAUGAUGGAAUUCUACUAAGUGGGUGCCAAGCUAAUGAAACUUCUGCUGACAUGAGCCCCAUGGAGAGCGGGGGCAAGGCGUAUGGGGCAUUUAGCAAUGCGGUGCAAAGAGUGCUGAAGGAGAAUUCUGGUCCAUUGAGCAAUAAAGAAGUUGUGUUAAUGGCUAGGAAGAUUUUGAAAGAGCAGCGAUUUGAGCAACAUCCUUGUUUGUAUUGCAGUGAUGAGAAUGCCGCGGCUACUUUCUUGUUGCAGCCGGCUGAAAGCUGAUCACAUCCGGACUGAGAUGCUAUUGAGUGUUGUGUUUACUGUUUUACUGCUCUACCAGCGAAACAGAUAAAAUUUGUUGUAUAUUUUCUAUAUGUAAUAAAAGGGAAAACUAAGUGGUGUGCUAUAAUAAUGUGCGAAAGAUAAUUCUUCAGCAAAUGGCUAUGAGAAAAAACCGACCUACCAAAGUCAAACUACAAGUGCUUAUCAAAUAUUUUGAUAUGAUAGAUAGCUCGAAAGCUAAGACAAACGGAGCUAAAAUCAUUUUUCCAAGCUCUUUGACUCUUGCUCUUUUAUCUUCUCUUCAAUCAUUAGCCUGCCAUCAGCAGGGGCGGAACUAGGGGAAAAAUUCUACAGAAAUGUUAAUUUUUAUGUUAUUAUAUAUGUAAAAUUAUAAUUAUACAGGGGCCACUAUAGAUAUUUUACACUAAUUUUUCACAUUUUCUUUAAAAAUUCUAAAAUUUUUUAAAAUUCUACAGGGCCAUGGCACCCUCUAGCCUCAUACUAGCUCCGCCCCUGGCCAUCAGCAGCCAUAGCUUUACAUCAUCCUUCUUCACCAAUACGCCGACAUUCUCUAAAAGCGGCCAUGUAAUCAUGGCCACUCCAGCGCUGAGGAUGUGAUGGUAUUAGUUACUAAUUGCGGAGCACAACCGCGAAUCAAAAGACCUCUUCUUUCUUCAUGCUCUAAGAAAAUCCAUUUCUCUAGCGUUUCUAGUCUAUUUUCUCCUUCUCUUACAACCCAGUAGGUCUUUCAAUCCAUUUCAACGUAGGAAUUACAUUAUAUAGGCCUCCAAGAUAAGCAUAAAUUACAGAGCUUGUCUCUCCUGUGAAACAAACCAUUUCAAGCAUUCAUAUCCAUCAAUUGAUGACUUGAUGGAAAAGUUUUUCUGUAAAGGUUUUAGUUAUUAUCGAAGGAUUAAUUUAAGUAAAUGAAAUUAUUUGUAAGUGUAAUUAAAGAGGAAAAAUAACUAAAACUCCUCUUGUUCGACAAAGAAAAAUUAACAUGUUUAUUUUAAAAUAAAAAAGGUAGAGCGGUGGGCAAAUUCCACCUUUUUGAAGUAAAAUGAAAUGAGUGAAUUUUAUGCUAAUUUUGAUGGAAUAUUAUUAUGGUUAUGAGAAUUAUUGUUUGAUUUAAAACAUGAUCUAUUUAACCAAAUUUGGUUGGUGUGAGUGUUUCAAUACUUUCACUUCUUAAGAGAGGUCAGGGGUUCAAAUCUCGUUUUCGUAUGAAGUCACCACUUUGACCAGCACUUUACCCCUUACUGACCGACCUGGUGCAAGCGGGGAUUAAUCUGAAUUGUGAUACGGGAUUAAAGGUGCCUCUUAUAAUUGAGAUCCGCUCAGGACCACCUCGUGGUUCAGAUAAUAAAUAAAUAAAUAAAUAAAACAUGAUCUAUUUAAAAUGGUUAAUUUUGUUAAACAAAAAGGUUGGGGGAACGUCCAAGGAUCCAAUUCGCCUUUGGAGUAGCAGUGAGCAAUUAAGGGCCCCGUUGGGAGAGUUGGGCUGCCACAGCCCACUUCCACUCUCUCCCUCAACUCAAAUCUAUUUAAAAUGCGUUUGAAAAUUGCGAUUGUGCUAGCCUACCUUGUUUGGGAAAAAUCUCAAAUUGCCCCCAAGUUAUAUAUACAUAUAUAGCGCUUCUCUAUUGAAGAGUAUAAAAACAAAGAUUUUGUGUGUUAGUGAAAACUGUAUUUUUUUUAUUUAUUAGUGUAUUAAAAUAUGUGUUUUUUAUUUUUUAUUAGCAUCCUCAUUUUAUUAGAGAAUAUAUAUAAGAAAAUUCUUUUGAAACAUUCUUUAGUUUCCUGUUCAUUUUCUUUUAUUCCUAAGAAAAUAAUUAACAGAAAUAGUGCAGAGGAUUCUAGAUCCUUCAAUGAUGUAAAUGAUAAGAUUGCUAGAAUGUAACGUGUCUUGAGUUCCAUCCAACAAGAUGUAACAAUGUCUUAUAUACAUGUACAAACUGUAGAGCAAGUUGACGAUCGAGAACAAGAGAAUUGAUUAAUUAAGACAGUUUAAUUUGGAAAUGAAGAAAAUUAGACAAAAGCGAUAGCUAGUAAGCCAAGUGAUGUGCUAGAGCAAUAACACUUGGUGAUGAAAUUGUCUCUUCUGACUUGUCUAUCAGGAUUACGUAGUGUGUUGAAACCAGGAACUGUAUAUAAGAUAUUAUCUGAAGAGCCAAUUACCUGCAUAUAUACAUAAUAGGAUUAGGGGCAAAAGGAUGUAACGUUUCUUAAUUCUUUUUUUUUUUUCACACGCUUUUGUUUGCUAGAGCAGAAGAUCAUCAUAUUCCUACAUAUUUUAUUUAUUUGGUGGUGGAAUGAACUUUUUGAAGGGGCAGUGACAUGAGCUCCUUAAAGCGAAGGUAGUGCCCUGAAAAGCUGAGGUAUAUGCAGUUUUGCACCAUGCAUGCUCGAUCAUGAGAUCGAUACAGUUGCAUCAGCUCAGUCAUAUUGACAUUGCACGAGUAUUGACUAAUGCACAGUUUGGUAUCCCAAGAAAAAAAAGAUUAAUACGCACUAAAAAUCUUGUGGAUAACGGACAUGCACAAUUGCAUCACCUGCUGAGUUAUCUUUUCAAGAAUAUUAUUGGUCCCAACAAGAUUGGCCACCUCAGCAUCUUGAAUAUAUGAAGAGCACAUGUAUUGUUUAAAGUCGAGCAAAUAUUUUUACAGAUAGCAGCUACAGCUGCUUCAAAUUUAAAGCUAUAGCUGUCUUACUUUGUAUGAACAAUGAAGCAUGCAGCCCAAAGUUGGAGCUCACCACAGUAAAUUACAGUGGCAUCUAAUGAUAAUAAAGGUACGUACACACGGAAUAAUGUUUUUUGGUACUGAGGCAGGGCCCGGCCCCCUCUAGAGCCAUGGCUAGCUUUGCCUCUGCCUAGCUAUUUGCUGGAGCUUCGGUAGCCGAACAAAUGCAGAUAGAGUGGGGGAAAAUUUCUACCACAUAUGGAUUGUUGAUUAAUACAUGGUAUGGAUCCACAUACGCACCGAAACCCUCUUUUCUAUUUUUAUUAUUUAGCUUAAUGAUAUAAUCUGAGUUCCUCUCCAGUCUCCACCACCCAUGUGAGUAGGAUUUAAAUCUGUUAUAUUCAACAUAAUAACUUUUAAAAUCUCAAGGAGAUGGCACCCCACCAACAAUCCUCUCUUUAAUUAUAUAUAGUACAAGUUAGAAUCAAUUAUGAAAGAUUUUCAAGUAUUGGAUAUGAAACAAUAUUAUCUUGACAGGGAGCGAAUAAAUCACCGUGAGGCUUGAAUUGAACAAAAAUUUAGUAAAGAGAAAUGUUCUAAUUUUAAAUUUAGCUCACGUUUAUGUAAUUUUGUAUUUGAACCCCCUCAAAAUCAUAAUUAUUGCGUUAUGACCUACCAAUUUUACAAUUUAUCCAUAGUAACUCCAUCGUGGAACCAAAAUCCUAAAUAAAACAUUUAAGCGGGAAGGAAGGAAACAGUUAUAUAAUAAGAUCACUGAGAUCUCGUGCCAUCUUUUAUUAUCAAAAACAAAAAUACUCAAAUUUGAUAAUUGAUUAAAGCCCCCUCACUGUCCAUCCAAUCCAACGACCCACCCCCAUGUCAAUGUAAAAAGCAUCCGUUGCAAAAACAAAACUCACGUGCAUAGUGCGUUGCUGAUGCUUUAAGUUUUUUUUUUUUUUUAAAUCACCCGAUUUCCGGUGACCGCAUUGGACCCCGACUAAUUCAAAUUCAAGAUGUAGUCACAGUUAAACCUUUUUACCCCUCCCAAAUAGUGUGCUUUAAGUUUUUUAAAACGUCUCUCUCUUUUUUUUUUGGCUCAAAUGUUUUCCUUUACUUGUGUCUGUCUUUGAGACAGUACAACACACAAGUAGUCCUAGUCCUAAUCCUAGUCCUAGACACCGCAUUGUCUCUUUCUGCUUUCGAUUUUACUGCCGUUUUACCUCACUCACUCUUCCCCAGCCCAUUCACAUUCCCCAAAUAUUCUCCGCGCACACACUCCGUAAACUAAGAUUAAGAUGAAGAAACAAGAUGGAUCAUCACUUCGAUCAUCAUCUUACCGCCAAGAAAAUUCUCCAAAAAACCUCCAAGCCAAGAGCAUCGGUUGCAUGUCCGGCAUUUUCCACCUAAUUUACAGACACAACAAUCGCCGUGGCAAAUUCAUCACUUCCGGUCAGUUUCUUUCUGUGUCUCAUGCACGUCAUUUCUCCCCAAAUUAAUUCAUUUGUAGUCAUUAAUUAAUGUUGCUCAUGAUGCGUUAAUAAUUAGGGAAAAAGCAGGAAAAGAACACGGUAUCUCCGUCAUCAAAGCAGCGGCAAGAAAGCGAUAAUGAUGAUCAUGAAUUCGUCAACAAUAAUAAUAACAACAACAACGACGGCAACAACUUCAUCACGAGACUCACGUCGUGCGAUGUGCAGAGAAGUCCGACGCUGCCGGCGGAGAUCCGUCUCCGGGGGAACAACGUGAAGACGGUGGAGAUUUGUUUGGAGGAGGCCGCGGAGAAGAGGAGGAAGUUGAUUGAAGAGUUGGAGAAAUGCGAUGAGGACUUGAAAGAGCUCAAGAAAAUUAUUGAUGUCGUCAGGAGUAACAGCGUUACCGUUACCGUUGAUCGCGAAGACAAUGAUAAUAAUAAUAAUAAGAUCAACGGUGAUCUGCAACCGAGUCCAGUGUCCGUGCUUGAUGAUUUCACUCCUUUGUCGUCGACUCUCAGCAGCAGCAGCUACCCCAGACGUUACGCAAAUGGUGAGUUUCAGACUUUCACUUGAACUCUUUUUGUUUUAUUAUAAAAUUUAUUAAUUUUCUUUGUCUUUUGUUUUGUUUUAUCUAUUGCAUGCAUGAAAAUGAAAGUAUGUUUUUUUUUUAGUCUUUAUAUGUUAGUACCAACUAUAAAAUAACACAAACUAACAUUUAAGAAAUUAAAAGAGAAUACCAAUGUGGUAUAUUUUGAAUAUUAUACAACUUAAAUAGAAUAGUAUUAUAUAUAUUGUCACAUAUUUAUCUAAUUACAGUAGUUUUUCAUUUUUACGUUAUUCUUAUGAUUAUUGUUUUCAGUCAAUUCACUUGCUCACGUAGAAUGAAGGUGGUUUAGAGAUUUUAUAAAUUUUAUAAACACUUUGUUUCGGGAAUUUAGGGAUUUCAUGCCCUUUAAGAAGAAGAGACUCAAUGCUUUUCCACGUAAACCGGCAGCAACACAUGCCAAAGGUUUAGGAUUCCAAGUUUGUAAAUGAUUUCACCUUGUGUGCAGAUCAUUAUGACAAAUUGUGUAGUGGGAGACAAAAAAUAAUGGCAAUUACCCAAUUCAUAAAAUGUUAAUCAUGAGUGACAGCUGUUUCAAUUAGUUAACAACUCUUCUCUUUUGUUUUACAUACUCAAGAAAAUUAAUGUCUUAAUAAUAAAUAUUAACAUCCUUGAAUUCAUGCAUAGUUUCUUGAGGAUCCAAUUAAAAAUCAAAGUCGAGGACAAAUUAGAUUGAAAAGUACCUAUAUAGAUGAAAACUUAGGCUCUACUUCAUUAGUGUGGCCCAUAUAAGCAAUUCUUUGCAAGCAAACUCUUCAAUGAUGCAGUCAAAGAUGACAUUAAGAAAAAGAAAAAAGGAGACAAACAGAAAGAAAAGAAGCACCAACUUUAGGUUUAGGUCCCCCAGACGAGAGCAAUCGAAUAGGUCCAACAACAACGCACUUGAACAAGUGUCGUCGCUACUACUUACUACAGAUGACACAAAAGUGAUUUUCUGAUGAAAAUGUUUUACCCAUUCAUCCAAACAAAAAUAAUUUUCCAGCUUCAUAUUUGCUUUCCCCUUUUCCUUUUCAUUUUGACUUUAAUUAGUAUGAAUGAUCGAUACUUAUCUCAUUAGCAUGAUUGUUUGUGAUGAUGUGACUGGUUCAUGGAAUAAUUAAAAAUCAAAUCAUAUUGGAUAGAUCUACAAUUAAAUAUGUGGAAAAAAGAAAAACCUCAAGUUUUUAAAUGUUUUUUUCUUAGUCUCUCAAAUUUUCGUUGCCAAUAUUCCUAAACUUAUUAUAUCAUUUGACACCUCAAGUUUCCAUUAUGCUCCAAAUUUUUAUUGCCGACACUCCAAAUUUUACCUUUUACACAUAAUAAACUACGAGGGAAAAAAGUCACAGAGACACAAUAUUAGAGCUAAAAUCUAAAAAGAGUAUUUAAAAUAUAUUUAAUAAUAAAAACUGCGUUAUAGUAAUUGUAUUCAUUCUCAAUGCAAAGAGUACAUUAUGUUAACUAACUUGUUUAUAUUGUACACUGUGUUGCAGGACGAGCAGCGGCAAUACACCAACAGAAGCAGAAACAAAAGAGAAAACCAGGAGAGGAGGACACUGCUGUGAGCAACAUAUGUUUGGUGGAAAAGAUGAGAAGUGAAACGGCAGUAAAGAGCUGCAGCGAGAACGUGGCAGGAGUACAAGUAAUAUCGCCCGUGUGGGGAAGCAAGGCCAUGAUAGAUAGUUUAAACGAAGUGUGUAGAGAUAUCGCAUGGGGUGAGAGAAGAGAGGUUGGGAGAAUUGGAUUGGCUUUACAAGAUUAUAUCUGCAGUGAUUUGAUUGAGGAGUUCGUUAAGGACCUACUUGGAUCCUUUUGCAUGUUUAAGUAUUCAUUUCCAUUUGAAGCGUGCAGGAGAAGUCUCCGUUUUUAGUCAUUUAACUAUUAACGAAUGUGCGUGUCACCUAUGUUAAUUACACAGGAGGAACCAUCCGCCUUCAUUUUUCUUUUUACAUUUUCUUUUUUUAAAUUUCCAACCUUCCAUUUGAAGUUAAAAUGAAAUAGUUCUGAUAUGAGUUGGCGGAAGGAGAGGCAAGAAUUAACCAUAGAGAGGAGGUUCUUGAUCUUGAGUUGCAGAGUUAUUUUGCAUAUUCACUUAGUAGAAGGUAAGAGACAUAAACAUAUUGGAAAUCUGUAGUUUACUCUUAUAUAUUAAAAUAAUAUAGAAAUUCUAAUACUGGGGCUAAACUAUGUUAUAUAUAAUGUACAUAUUCAUAAGUUGUCAUCUAUCCUAAUUCAAUUAUUUCACAUGCUACAUUUUUUUUUUUUUUUUUUUUUUUUUACUUUUAGGCGACAACUUAAGGGUUAUUGUAUGCUCCAUAUGAUCCUAGUAUUGGCAAUAUUAAUUGAAAGGAUUAUGUUAACAUGUGAUGCAAGAACACGCCUAAAGAAAUUAAAAAUUACGUAAAAAAUUAUCUUUAUUUGAAAAAUAUCAAUGGUAUUUACUUUUAAAAUAAUUUUUCUCUUAGCCAACGGACUCAUACCUCAUUGACAACUCAUGCACCCAAUAACCUUGGGCGUAUGACCCUUCUAAUAGAGAUUUGUUUGACUCUUUGUUUUGAUAAUAGAAUAGAUUUUUCUCCAAUAUUAAGUGAUGCUUGUUGUUCGGACUGUAUCAUACUAAAAUUAUGAAGGAGAGUCCUGAUUACUAUCUAAUUAUAAAUAUCAAUAGAGUUUUGAUUUAAUACAUCAAUAUUUCAAAAAACAAAAUUAAUUUUCCUCUCAGAUGUUGCUUUUGAAUUGGGCUUUAAAUCUGAUCAUAUGAAAGCCCAAUUCGAGUCAUAACGAUAAGAUUUCAAUGUUUCAAUGUAUGCUUAGCCAUAACAAGGGACGGUUGUUUCGAUAAGGUCGCCUGGGAAUAGUGCGAGAGCGACGGACCCAUGACGUGGCAGUCAACGUGAGAUUCUGAUCUCACUCACCGCGUAGAAACCGCGUAAACGCGUUCUCCUGAUUUUUAUUAUAUUCCAUUUAUUUGUUUUUCUUUUUUCCCUCGAUACUUUUACGACAGACUCUUUCAAAAGAUAAUAAAGGCAAAAAGAAAAAGAAUAUAAGAUCAAAGAGAAUUACUAUCCACCGAUUAUUAAAAAAAUCAAAAUUUCAAGAGGGAAAAAAAAAAAAAAAAAAAAGGCUCAGAGAGAUAUUCAUAACAAAUCAAACAACUACGCGUAAAGUAAAUAAAUCUCCGCAGAAUUCAACACGGUAUACAGCUAAGGUACAUAAGCCGUUAUAGAGCCGAUGAUAAUGGUCCUGCCACGUUGUAGAAUCUUUCUUCUUCUGUCACGUGUAAUCAUGAAUGAUGAUCUUUUCGAAAAACGUCACCUGCUAACUAUGUUCCCUCGGGCAGUUUAGCCAAGCUCUUUCUUUUUCUAUUCUAUGCUUCCACAUGUGUGCUUACCGUUAUACCCCUAAGAAGUGAGACUUCUUGUGGGUGUGCGUGUGUGCAUGUCUCUAAUCUGGAGGAAUUUUAAAUUUUUUGAUGACUUAAAUACCCUUUUAGACAGUCUCUGGCAGCUUUAUUAAUUAGACCAAAAAAAUUAGAAAUAAGUAUUGUAAUCUCGAAAUACAUGGGUAAUAUUUUUCUUUUAGCUUUUACUUCGUUUUAUUUAAUGGUGCAAUUAAUAUACAAUUUUGAAACUUAUAUUCUAUAGUUAUAUUCAUCAGCACUGGUAACAAACUAAUAUAAAAAAUCAUAAAGAAUAAUACAAAGUAAAAAUUCUUUAUAAUCUUUAAAACAAAUUCAUUAUAAAAAUUUUAUGUAAAAUUUGAUGUGACAUAAUCACAAAAACAUAUUCCUUUAUUAAAAAUUUAAUUAUUUAAAAUAAUUAUGUGAACUAUGUGAUAAUUUUAUGCAAAUAAUACGUUCAAUUGACAUAGUUUUUAUGUAAUAGUGAUUAAAAAAUUUCACACCUAUAACAUUAAUUAUAGUUAUUAUGAAAAUGUUGAUUGAUUCAACUAAUAAAAUUUUUUGUGGUGUUAUAAAAAUUUCAAAAAUUAAAUUGGUUCCACCUAGAUUAAAAAAAAGAGUAAAUAACAUCUUAAUCAUUUAAACAAAGAGUAAUGAUACAACCACAAACUCUUGUACAAAUUUAUUUUGUACAAAUUGAUGUGGCAUGAUAAGAUUGGUUGAAUUAAAUAUCACUUGACCCACAUAAUUUGUUUUUAUUAAUUUAUAUUUUCAUUCAACCAAUCUUAUCGUGCCACGUCAGUUUGUACAAAAUAAGUUUGUACAAUAGUUUGUGGCUGUAUCGUUACUCUUAAACAAAAGUUAUAAAAACUUAACAAAAUUCAUGUGAGAGGGCAUUACGGUCAUGAUAACUAUUAUUUUAAUAUAUAUUUUAAUGAUUUCUUUGAAUAUUUCAUGCUAUUAUUAAAAUGUAUGGAGUUAAUCGAGUGAGCGAUGUAGCGAAAUAAAAGAAAAUAUCCAAAUGGUAAAAUGGGAAAUUAAAAGUUAGGCAGAUUUGAUAAUUCAGUUACGUCCGGACGGAAGUAAAAUGAUGUUGGAUCGUAUAAAUGCGACCAUCGUUUUCUCUCUCUCUCAAGUUGUGGGUAGCUCUUGGAUUUUUGUAAGGAAAAAAAUAAAUAAAUACCUAUUUCUGAGUUGAAAAAACAAACGGAAGAAGAAAAAUGGCGGAUCAGCUCACGGACGAUCAGAUCUCUGAGUUCAAAGAGGCCUUCAGCUUGUUUGACAAGGAUGGCGACGGUCCGAUUUUUCUCUCUAUAUAUGAUUUAUUUAGCUAUUAAUUUCCAUAUAGAUCUAGUAUAAGAUUCUUGAAUAUUUGCUUGAUUAUUGUUUUGAUCCCUAAUUAUUUCUGUUUGAUUUUCUAUCUGUGAUGUUAUUUUUGUUUCAUUUUUCGAACUGGCGCUAAAUCGAUGUUAGAUUACAUAGCUUCUGUAUAGGUUAUGUGACCUACUAGUUGACCGGUGUUAUAUUUUUGCGUUUUUUCUUUUAUUCCGUAAAUGGAAGCAGUCGAUUUUCAUUCAAAUCCAGCCGGUGGAUUUUAGGCUUUUGCUUUUUCUUUUUUCAUUUGCAUAUAUUAGGAAUAAUUCUUUUAUGAUUUGCUUUGCUGAGACUGUUGGUAUGAGUUUUGAUUUUCCUUUUAAAUGAUCCUAGCUGACUCCAAAAUAUAUAUGUUUUAUACAUCAACCUUUGUAAUUCUUGUUGAAUACUUUUUUUUUUGUAAUUCUUGUUGAAUACUUGAAUCUGCUUCUUAACAAAGUCUUGCGUAUGAGGGGCCUCUUCAGUACUGUGUUCUGAAUGGUGUUUCUGGAAACCGAAUGUCAAAUUAAGCUGUUUCCGACCUUGUAUUUUUAUAGGAUGCGAUUCCUAUGAAUAUUUAAAAAUAAUAUAUUAGUUAACAUGAAUUUGAUAAUAAUGUUUUAUUUUAUUAUUAUUUUUAAGUAAAUUGUUAUCAUAUAACUAAAUAUUUCGCAUGAGUUUUUGUUUUUAAUUAAAUAAUUGAAUAAAUUUAUUUUAAUUCAAUUAAUAUUUUUAUUCUCCUUUCAAUUCUAUCAAACGUCUCUUUCUUUCCCUACUAUCAUUUACAAUUAUCCAAAUAAUUUUUAAGAUUUAUGCAAUGUUAGGUAAUUAUAUGUCAGACUUUGAAAAAUGCUUACCAUGCUAAAUGCUGGUGCUAUCUUGAGUUUAAAGCCACCACUUUUUCUUUGUAACAGUUGCCAUCUUCAUACUCAGAUUGAUUUUGUUUCAGAUUUAAUUUGUUCUUGCUUGAAGAGUCGUUUGUUGUUAGUUUGUAGUUUCUUGGGUUGGUAGUUCUUUGAUGUGAAAAGAAGAGUGAGGAAGUUUAUUGUUUCCGAUAAGAUUUAGUGUAAAAAGUGCUGGAAACAUGAAAUUGAUGUUUUAUGCAUUUUCAGUUGUCUUCCAAGAAGUUGAAAAAGGACUGUGCGGUGGUUAAUGAUUGUUUUGCAAAACUCAUUACCAUUUGUGUUUUCAAGCUAUUCUUAGCAGUUCAAAUGAAAGGCCAUUGAAGAUAGAGUUGCUCAUUCUAAUAAAAUAUCUCAAGUUAUUUGUGGUAUAUGCUUGCCUUGAGAUUUUGGCUCAUUCUAAUAAAAUCUCUCUAUUUGUGGCAUACUGUAAGUUUUUUAAUUUUUAUUUUGGGCUCUGGUUGUGUAUACUUAAAUUGAUUCUGAUUUUAUUGACGAAUUUUAGCAGCUAUGUGGCCAACUAAACCUCCAUGUGCACUGCUGCUUGGUUUGCUUGUUUGUUUUGCGUGAUAAUCAUACAAGAAAUUUUGUUUUUUCCUUCUUGCCAGUAUUGUUCUGUCAGUCUUUCAUGGCUUAUAUAUUGGAUUUGCAGGUUGCAUUACCACCAAGGAGCUUGGCACUGUUAUGAGGUCACUGGGUCAGAACCCCACUGAGGCUGAGCUCCAGGACAUGAUCAAUGAAGUGGAUGCUGAUGGUAAUGGAACUAUUGAUUUUCCUGAAUUCCUAAACCUCAUGGCCAGGAAGAUGAAGGAUACCGACUCUGAGGAGGAGCUGAAAGAGGCCUUCCGGGUUUUCGACAAGGAUCAGAAUGGUUUCAUCUCAGCUGCUGAGCUGCGCCAUGUGAUGACAAACCUAGGAGAGAAACUUACUGAUGAAGAAGUUGAUGAGAUGAUAAGGGAAGCUGAUGUUGAUGGUGAUGGCCAGAUAAAUUAUGAGGAAUUUGUCAAGGUUAUGAUGGCCAAGUAAUGACCCCAACCCACCAAUACUUAUAAAAUGGGUUGACUAAAUUAUAAAGGGAUUCCUAGUUUUCUCUUUUACAAUUUUUAAUUUGAUAGUCAUGAGGGUCAGGCUAAAGGAAGCAAUGGUCUUUUAAUGGUGAUGGGCCUGAUGGUGUAGGAAGAAUGUUGUCUCCCUCGUCAAUAUGUCUUGUGACUCGCAAAACUUUUCGGUUUUUAUUAUUUUAGUUGUUCUGCUGUUCUAUGAAUGUUGUUGUCUGUUUAAUGUGUUUCAUUAAUUUCUGCCCUUGCGAUGUUUAUUUUUCUUUUGGUCGAAAUAUGUAUCCUAUUUUAUGUAUCAGGCUAUCAGCUUAGGUUUCUUGGCCUAUAAUUUUAUUUCUUUGGUUAUGAUGAAUGAAUUUGCUCUGGGCUUUUGCUGCAGUGGUCGGUUUUGGUUUUGUGAUAGAAAUUACCCCGGGGACUGAACGGUCUAUAUGGCAUUAUUAACAAACUCGAAUUUUCUUUUCAAUGGAAUGAAUCUGGAUUACCAAACACGGCAAUGCCCGUGUUUCUCGUUGAGAAAGAAGAAAAUACAGAAGUAAAUUGAACGUCUGUAAAUCCUCUGCUAGAUCCGUUUUGACUUUUAUGCAAGGGGCUUUGUGUUAGUGCUGUCUGGUUCGUUUCAACAAUCCAAAACAAUUUCAAGAUCUAAUCUAUUUUCAAAACUAAUUUUAAUGAAUGAACGAACAUUUCCAAAAUUUCAUCUCACAGGGAACGUGCAUUUCUAAAAAUUCCAUUUCUUUGGGGACGUUAAACACGAUGCUUCAAUAUUUGAGUUCUCAUGAUGUGGCAUCUAUUUAUUGUAAGAAAGAAUGGAGUAAUAAUAAUAUUUUAUGAGUACACAUUAAUUAUAUAUGUUAUUAUAUAAAUUAUAAUAUUUCUUCUUACUUAAAUCCCGUUGGAUUUAAGCGUCUUCUUUGAUAUAUAUAAAUCUAUAUUAGUCAUCAACCGCGGAACUAUGUUUGGGCCUCAAGGGCCUAGCUCCAGUUCGGAAAUAAUUGGAGAAAAAUAAGGUUGAACUUUUAUAAUCUAGUCUAUUCUAACGUAUAAUUUACACUUUGGUUUUCUUAUUUUUAUAUAUAUUAUGACCCCAUAAAAUCAAAAUUAUAGUUGUACCACUGGUAACAUUUGUGAUGUUCUAUCUUAUGAAGUAGUGAGAUUUUUUAAAAUUAUUUUAUUAAAAUAGUACAACACUUCAAAAUAUAUUGUUUUUAUACCUCAAGUUUCUAAAGAUACAAAUUUUAUACUGUCUUUUUGAAUCUUCAUGAAAUACAUUCUUCAGCAAGGGCGAGAUAAGGUAAAUAAUGUUAGGCUUGGGUAUUAUUUCGAAGUUCUUGACGAGAAGAAUAAAAGUCAUAGUAAAUGUUUUACAAAUUUUUGUUGUUCAAAAUUUGGCACUAAAUUGCAGAAUUUUCCAAAAUAUCUGCCAUGAGUUUUUUUAUUUCGAAGGUCGAAAGCUUUAAAAUGAUAUUAUAUACAAAACUUGAUAUUAUUUACACUAUUUAGUAGUUGUAAAAAAAAAAAAAAAAUUGUCUUGCAUCUAGCAUAAAUUAUAUUACAAGGGCAAAAUAAUAUUUUAGUAUACAUUCAUUAACAUAUUCUACAACAAGAUGUAAAAUGGUAUUUUAAAAAUCAUUGAAUAUAAGAAUGGUAGAUUUUAAAAUGUUUUAAUAAUUCUGGCUUUUUUUUUUCGUUUACACGAAGGAAAAUAGUUCUCUAUUUUAUUUUACCAACAAGGAAAUCAGGUGAAAAAAUUUAGAAUACAUAAAUAAAUAAAUAAAUAAUAUUAUAUUAUAUCAUGUAUUAUUACAGGUCACGCAUGUAAUAAUUAUUUGUAUCACCUCAAAUGUCGCAAGGAACUUUAGGAAUGGAAAGCAGGAAGUGAUAAAUGACCGGCAAAUUAAAAAUGAAGGGUAAAAAGGGAAAAUCAAAGAUUAUGGAGAUUUGAUGAUUCAUUUACGUCCGGAAGCAAGGAAUUUGACGCGAGAAGAUUGGGCCAUAUAAAAGGCAACCAUCGUGUUGUCUGGAGUAACAAGGCCAUUUCUCUCUCUCGUUAUUUGAUUUUGCGGAAAAAAAAAAAACCUAGUUUUCAGUUGAAAAAAAAAAGAAGAAAAUGGCGGAUCAGCUCACCGACGAUCAGAUCUCCGAGUUCAAAGAAGCCUUCAGCUUGUUCGACAAGGACGGCGACGGUCUGAUUUUCUCUCUUCAUAAUCUCUUUGCUUUUAGCGUUGGAUUUUCUUAUAGAUCUAUUUUUUUUCCCUCUAUUCACGAAGCUGUUGAUUUUUGGAACGUUUUUGACUAAUUAAAGCUCUGAUCUCUCAUAUUUUCUAUUGAUUUUCGAUGUGUGAUGUGAUUUUGUUGAUUCUGUAAUUGAUGUUCGAUUAAUUGGAUGAUAUAAUUGACUGAACAUUAGGCUGAUGCGUUUCGUAUUUAAAAAGCUGCACAUUGUUUUUGUGGGGUUUGUUUGUUAUGCUUUAAUAUUGUUUUGUAAAUGAAAGCAGUCGAUUCCGAAUCAGACCCGUGGAUGUUCAAGCUCUGUCGUAGUGUUCUUUCAUUAUUAAAUGAAAAAUCCUUCUGAUUCACUUUGCCUAGAACAAGUUCUUAUUCUGAUCGAAUGAUGCUUGCCAACCGCACAACAUAAUGGGCUUUACAUCAAAUUCUGUAAUACUUAUUGAAUCUGCUUCUUACUAAAUUUCUGGAUAGGUCGGCACAUUCUAAUUCAAUUAUGUCUUGGGAUUUGCGUCCUUUAUGCUCGUUUUGAGAAUUUGCUACUUGUAUUGUUUUAUCUAUUGUGCUUGUUACAUUUUGUAGUCUGCUGUUAUGUCUUAGUGUUGUUUUUAGACUGAUUGGGUAUACUUGUUGUUUGCCAAAAUCUAGUCAGAACAGUUGUCUCAUGUUGACACUGUAUUGUAUUUUGAUAAAUCAGCAAUGUUUAGCAAGUUAUGGUGCCUAGUUGUCAGCAGCUUUACCACUGAGUGCUGUGCUGUUUACCAUUUUUGUUUUACGUGAGUAUCUAAAAAUUCUGUCGGCUUUGUCAUGGUUCGUAUAAUAUUGAAUUUGCAGGUUGCAUUACCACCAAGGAGCUUGGCACUGUUAUGAGGUCACUGGGUCAGAACCCCACUGAGGCUGAGCUCCAGGACAUGAUCAAUGAAGUGGAUGCUGAUGGUAAUGGAACUAUUGAUUUUCCUGAAUUCCUAAACCUCAUGGCCAGGAAGAUGAAGGAUACCGACUCUGAGGAGGAGCUGAAAGAGGCCUUCCGGGUUUUCGACAAGGAUCAGAAUGGUUUCAUCUCAGCUGCUGAGCUGCGCCAUGUGAUGACAAACCUAGGGGAGAAGCUUACUGAUGAGGAAGUCGAUGAGAUGAUAAGGGAAGCUGAUGUCGAUGGUGAUGGCCAGAUAAAUUACGAGGAAUUUGUCAAGGUUAUGAUGGCUAAGUAAGUGACUCCACCCAACCAAAACUUCCUGGGAAAAGAAGAAAUUGGUUGAUUAAUAUAAUUGGUUCCCUAGUUUCCUUUUUUAUAAAUUUUAAUUUGAUAACUCUGAGGUCAAGCUAAAGGAAGCAUGUUGUCUCCUGCUUCAAUUUGUCUUGUGACUGGAGCAACUUUUCAGUUUUUUAAUGUUUUAGUUUUUUUCCGCUCUUCUGUGAACAUUGUUUCUGUUAAAUGAGUGACUCGUUGAUCUGCCCUAUUUCUUAUUUCGAGAUUUUGUGGAUAAGAAAUUGAUAUGUGAUGACUUAAUGUUGUUUCCUCUACCUCUUGGGUUUGUUGUGGUCAAAUUAUAUAUCGGUUUUCCAAUUGAUCAGCGUAUGUGCACUUGAUCUAGUGCGUGCCGUCUUGCAUGUUAUGAUGUGCUAUGGCAGCCUGAGGAGCCCAGCGCCUCCCUAUGUGAGUACGGCUGUACGGCUAUUAAGAUUUAUGUAUUUAACAAGCGAAGCUGAUGACAUUGGGAAAGAGAUUUCAGACAUUUUAAUGCUAAUUAAACAUGCCAACGGUGUGUUUGGCUGGACGAAAUGGAGUCUACUCUGUAUCACAAGCCUUCAAAUUUCAAUAUUACCCUAGGACAUCAUUGUUAUUUGUUAAGAAAAUAAUAAUAUAAUAAAUUAAUUAAUUAAUUAAUACUUCAUUUUAGAAAAUGGUUUGGUUGUCAAAAAAAAAAUUAAUAGGUAAGUUUUUUAAAGUAAUAUUAUAAAAUGAAUGAAAUAAGAUUGUUAAAUAAAUAAAUAAUAUUUUAUAUAUUUUUACAUUUAAAAAAAAAUCAACUUUUAUUUCUAAAAGUUUAAAAUUUAAGUUUUUGUUAAAUCAUUUAAUCUUUAAAAUUCUACUAAAAAACAAUUAAACAUCAUAAAAAAAAAUGUAAAGAACUUAUAGUAUUAAAUAAAUAUUUAUGAUCUUUUAAGUAAAUUAUAUCAAACACACUUUUAAUAUUUUAAAAUUUUCUUUCAUUUAAAUUAUAAGAUAACACGGUGUAUGCAUAAACUGAAAUACAAACAAUUUAAAGAAGCAUGGUCUUUAAAAACUACGAUUGCUGCAGUUUUUUGUCUCUAAUUUUUUGUUCGGUUCUUUACAAUUGGAAUCAAAUCAGACUAAAUUUUAAAACCAAAUCAAAUUUGACAUAUUUUAAGUUAUGUUUGAGAUUAAAGUGCAAUCAUAUAAACAUAACUUUUAAGAUAUAACAACUAAUAUUUAUUAAACGAUUUAGUACUAUAUAACUUUUAAGCUGUAAAAUACAAUUGUACUUUCUCAAUCUCAAUCGCACACUUACUUUUGGGUCAGACUUGCAUUUAUUUCCAUUUCUUGAUUAUCCUGUUCUUAUUUAUUUAUUUGAAAUCCCACAUCAAAGAUUGGAUCACUAAGUACCAAGGUGCGCCACCCCAAGCCCCCUUCCUUUUUUGUAGUAUUCAUAAAACAAAGGCUAAAAAGGAUGUUAAUGAAAUCAAAGAGAACAGCCCAACUGAACUUUUCCCAACAUAAUCGCAUUACACCAGGCACGACCAAUCCUUUUCAGACCGUCACUUUCAACAAUUUAAACCAAAAAAAACAAACAAAGGCUAAAAAGGAUGUUAAUGAAAUCAAAGAGAACAGCCCAACUGAACUUUUCCCAACAUAAUCGCAUUACACCAGGCACGACCAAUCCUUUUCAGACCGUCACUUUCAACAAUUUAAACCAAAAAAAACAAAAAAAAUCCCCCAUAACUAUAAUCUCUUCAAACUCUUCUUCCUAGCAUCUAUUUUCUUCCUGUCAGCCUGGACUUUUGCCAGCCCAACUUCUUUCUUUUGUGUAGUGGCGGAAGCGGGUGUUGUAGCAGACCCGCCGAUUCCUAUCUCCACUGUUGGAACAGCAGCGGAUGGCUGAUCCUGAUUAUUUCCUCCUCUAGUGGCUGUUGCGGAAGGAGCUAGUGGUUGCGCCAAUGGCAAUGGUAUUGCGCCACCAGAUGGUGUGUUGUUCUUCUGGUCCAUGUUGGUGAUAGUCUGGUCAACAUUCAGUGCCGUUGUUGAUUCAGAAAUAGCUCCUGACUUGAAUUUUGGUUUUGGCUUUGCAUGAAUCCCAGUGUAAAUCCUGCAGAAAACUUACAAUCUUCAGUGAACCGCGUAAAACGAGACUUACUUGAUAAGAGGCAUGUAAAAUGCUUUUUAAUUUUAUCAUCCCAUUUCCUUUGCAUAAGGUAGCACAGCAACAGUUAGCUUAUUAAGAGGGGACAUUUACAACAGAGGGCACAUGAAUUAAACCAACAAUCCAGAGCACUAAAGGAGUUUGUUCCCUAUCAGCUCUUAAAAGAACUUGACAUCUCAGAAGUUUGUUCCCUAUCAGCUCUUAAAGAACUUGACAUCUCAGAAGUACUCUCAAAAGGUACUGCAGGACCCACAACACGUGCAGCAUGUAGGCAAAUGACAGUGUAGGACAUGGAUGUGUGCUAACACCUAGAUAUUCACAUGUAACGUUCCAGAGUUGCCAAGAACCACCACAUAAAAAAGCAGAUUACAUAAUGACUAGACAUACCUGGCAUGUCUGGCAUACUCCUCAUAAUUUUCAAGCAGCAUCUUACCAGCCUGUUCAUUCAAUGCUGAUUCCGGAAAUGGUUCAAUCAAUAAACACCGGACUACCUGUUAUCACAAAUCUCAGAACAAUGAAAAAAAAAAUUCUCAAAGUAAAGUUCUCAUCAAACAAACAGGGAAGAACAGAUAGCUAAAGGAAACAUUAACAAAAAUUGCCAUCAGAACUUACGAUGAGAACAUGUCUCAAUCCAAGACUUGGAUUCCAAUCUUUUUUUAGUGUAUUCACACAAAUUUCACCAUUUGUUGCAAUAUUUGGAUGGAAUAUCUUCGUCAGGAAGUAACCUACAACAUCCACAUUGUGAAUAAUCCCAAGUUGCGUAAGCAAUUAACAGAUUUUAGGAGAAAAUAAUAAUAUCCAUACAAUAUAACCAACCAACCUUUUGGAGGGGAGUGCGGGAAGUCAUGAGAUAAUAACAACUUCAUGCGGAAAACACCAUUCUCAUAAGGAGUUCCAGCUGCAUGGAGAGGAAAUCUUAUUCCACUAUUGCAAUAUGUCUCAAAAGACAUAAAAUUUUGACGGACAGAAAAUUGCAUACCUGGGCCUUCAAUAUCAGCAAAUAUGGUUGAAAAAUCAUCAUCAUUUACGCCUACUUUAAUGCCCUCAGGAGGAGAUUCAUCAAGACUCUUCAAUUCCUUAGCAAGUUGCUUUAUUACAUUUGGUGGAAGAUUUUCAUUAGUAGCCUAAACCAACACAACAACAAAAACCAAAAUAAGUCAAACUAUUCACAAGUGAUAAAAAGAAAUUACAAUACGAGCUUAAUGCACAAACUUGAUGCAUCUCCAUCUUCUAAAAACAAAAAAGACAACGUGCUUAAUGGUGAAAUAAAGCUACAAAUUACCGUUUAUGAACUAACCAUGCAUAUAAAAUGAACAAAUCAUGAAAUUUUUAACUUUAUUUUCCAUCAGCAACUGCUGAAAGUUUGCAUCGCACACCAUAAUUCUCAUUCUGUUUAUCUGUAUGUUUCUUGGCAUAUGAAUUAAAGUAUGCAUCCCUGAACUGGUUUUAAUAUAAUGUAAAUUUCCACAUUGAUGGUGUCAUAAAAAGUCUGUAGCUUUACCAUGUCAACAAAAGAUGACAGGAUCCUUGUAAUAGCUCUUCUUUUGCGCUGUCACUGGCAGGAAAUUAGAACCUUGGCAAAGAAUGUUCCGUUGCUUUUUGAACUUAAAGGCUUAGUGAUAAAAAAUUUGUAAGCAGAAUGCCGAAAGCACCUAAAAGAUAAUAAAUUGAACUUUCAGAUUAGAACUAACAAGGAGGUAACAAUAUCAUUUGAUCAUUUGUCUUGACUGAACUAGACUAAAUAUUAACAACCACCAUCAUUUUUUCUCAGGAAUCAAAGAAAAUUAGCUAACAUUGGAAGGGUACUUGCAACUCAUAAAACAGAGAGAUGCACCACAAUAGAGUAGCCAAAACAAAAGCAAACAAACUCGCUAAAAAGUUGACAAACUUGAUUAAAUGCAAACUGAAAAUAACAUUGAGAGCAUAUCAUACGGUCUGAUUGUUAAAAAGACUGCUAAAUACUUGUUUUCUGUAGAAACCAAACAGAAUGUAAGCUAUCAUCAAUCACAGGUGGACACCCUUAUAAUUAUCAUACAAAACUAAUAAUUUAUCAAAAUAUCAGAACCAGCAUUUUCACCUACCUACAACUGAGUUGAGUUGGUAAAAUUCCUCAAAAAGUUACUAUCCCGUGAAACCUCCUAUCUUCAGUAUAAUGAAUCUAUCAAAGUUUGAGAUGCAGGAGUCCCAUUAUUCCAAAAGGGCAACAAUAUUCAUUAUCCUUAAUUUUGGGACAAAUAAUUCAUCCAAGUACAUCACUUCAUUAAUACAUAAAGCAGAAACUAAAAACUUACAGUCAAAGGAAAAAGAAACAAAUAAUUCAUCAAAUCAAAUGAACCCAUUUGUCAAAACCCUAAUUUAUACCCAACUAAUUGUCCAGGAACGAAGAAAGGAACCUUAUUUUCAAAAAUACCCACAUCAGAAUCAACAAGCUGAAGCAAGAAAAGCAUAUACAAUUUCUAUAGUUGCAAGAAAGCAAUCUAUCAUACACAAUGAUAUGUUAAGAUGAAAAAAGUGAAGAAUCAGCACACAAACAAACAUAAAAAUCCAAGCUUUACAUCAAAUCAAUUGAUUUCGACUCAGAUUGAUCAAUAAUCGAACAAAAAAUUCAAAAACCCAGAUGAAAAAUUACCUUGUCUGAUUCAAUUAAUCUCUUGAGAAAGAGAAAGAGAAAGAGAGUGGGAGAGCGAGUGUGAGAGAGAGGAGAGAGAUGUAAAAAUAAACGUUGAAAAUACAGACUGCGAAAGCGAUCUCUUCUUGGAAUGAUUGAUUGGUUGAUUAUGAGGAGAAAAAUUAUUUUAUUUUAUUUUUAUUUAUUUAUGACUAAGCAACGCACACAGUAUAUUUAAAAAUUGAAAUAUUAUUUGAUUCCACAUGACGUGUCGCUGUGUGAGAUUGCUCAGGAUUUCUAGUCGUUGGAUUCUUUAUAUUUACUUCAGGACACAGUUUCCACGCUCUUUCGAUGAGCGUUUCUCUACACGGGUAAUUUUUAAAAACCACCCCUGAGGUUUA